This 74-nucleotide transfer RNA is filed under the name Candidatus Woesearchaeota archaeon. RNAcentral's name for it is "tRNA-Phe". It matches the Rfam family "tRNA". Rfam says of the family: Transfer RNA (tRNA) molecules are approximately 80 nucleotides in length. The record is from RNAcentral. Lineage: Archaea; Nanobdellati; Candidatus Woesearchaeota.
GGGACGGUAGCUCAGCCUGGGAGAGCACACGGCUGAAGACCGUGGUGUCGGGGGUUCAAGUCCCCCCCGUCCCA